RNAcentral lists this ribosomal RNA (318 nucleotides) under Triticum aestivum (bread wheat). RNAcentral describes it as "partial small subunit ribosomal RNA". Lineage: Eukaryota; Viridiplantae; Streptophyta; Magnoliopsida; Poales; Poaceae. The record is from RNAcentral.
AUGAGGAGAACUAGCGAAGGAUGCAUCGGUUUGCGUGGUGGAAAAUGUGUGUGCCAAAAGAGAGGUGGUAUGGGGUUCAGAGAUGUGCAUAGUUUUAAUCUAGCAAUGCUAGCUAAGCAAUGUUGGAAGCUGAUUGAAAAUUAUGAUUCACCCUAUGCAAGAGUAUUGAGAGCAAGAUACUAUUUGAGUGGUGACUUGUUAAACUAUGAAUUGAAAAAAGGGUCAUCCUAUGUGUGGUGAUGUAUUUGGUCAGGCAUCCAAACAUUCAAGAAAGGAUGUAUCUGGAGAGUGGGAGAUGGAGCAAAGAUCAACAUCUAG